RNAcentral lists this long non-coding RNA (1107 nucleotides) under Daucus carota (carrot). Its description in RNAcentral is "long non-coding RNA (DCAR_LNC003162)". The record is from RNAcentral. Lineage: Eukaryota; Viridiplantae; Streptophyta; Magnoliopsida; Apiales; Apiaceae.
AGUAAAUCCUUAGCAAACUCUGGAGGAUUCCAGACAACAAAGCUGCGGCCUGUGUGACUCCAAGAGACCACAGAGUCAGUCACCGGGCCUUCAAUCAUCUCAUAAGUCUUUGUAAGAAACGGAGCUGGUGAACUCGAACCAUUAGACCAUUCCAUCAUAAUAACAAUAUAGCUAAAUAAUUCAUCUUUGAGAUUUAAUUAAGGUACAAUAAAAUCAAGAAAACAAUUUCUGAGUGACACUCUUAACUUGAAAACAGAUUGAGGUGGAGAGCAAAGAGGCUCUAGAGAAGAGUGUAGCAGGGAAGACUACAAUAAAAUAAUGUGGAUAGAAACAAAUUUAAGUAUUAUCACAAAGAUUGAAUCAUAAAAUCGAAGGUAGAGAAACGGAAACACUAUACAUGUAGCUUUCUUGCCGAAUCAAGAGAGCCGAAACUAAUCCACAAAAAUUAUUUUUGCCUCCAAAAAUUACUAACCUAACCUGAUCAAAGCCACAACAUAACACAAACACGAAUGAUCAAAUCACAAAAAAUUCCUCUUUUUUUUUCGUUUAAGAUCAAAGCAAAAAACUCCCUAUAACCAAGAAAACCAUAUCUCACAUGCCUCAACUAAUCUAAUAGUCUAAUACAUCAAAAUCAAAUUUAUCACCAAACCGGAUAAAAGAUCUAUAAUUUCAAAACCUACCCUCAUAAAAACUCCACAAAAUUUAACCAAAAUCAUUGUUCUCUAUACAAAAACUGAUCAUGAUUCUAAACAGAAAUUUAUACAAAACCCAAUAACCAUAGACAUAUUCAUCCAGCACCUCAAUAAUAAUAUAAAUAACGCAGGAAUGCAAUGACAAUUUGAUUGCCAGAAAGCUUGUAAAGAAAACAGGAUACCAAAUCAGAUACUUCAACUGAUAUAUUAGAAAAUGCACUAAAAUUUAACUGAUGCAUUAGAAAAUUGCAUUAACAAUUCCAUGUUACCUGAAUCUUAAAUCCUGAUUCAGUACCGUGUUUCUGCAGUAUUUGGGCGAGGAAUGUAAUAGUAUUUCUCUGCCGAUUUUCUAUGUUUUUCAAACACUCCGAUAGGGAAUGCACUUCAAUUUCAAAUCCUUGACUCUCCUCCUUAU